Amblyraja radiata (thorny skate) is the source of this 87-nucleotide non-coding RNA. RefSeq annotates it as small Cajal body-specific RNA 18. The transcript has a single exon. Lineage: Eukaryota; Metazoa; Chordata; Chondrichthyes; Rajiformes; Rajidae. The record is from RefSeq and is a predicted model, not a curated record.
UGGUCAAUGAUGACUAGCCCACUGCGCAAUCUGAGUUCCAAAGUGAACCUCACUGAUGGAAACAGUGCUGAUAAAUGUCUGAGACCA